UUAGUCAAGGUUGUCUAAAGGAAGA
Molecule: non-coding RNA, 25 nt
Filed under: Rattus norvegicus (Norway rat)
Lineage: Eukaryota; Metazoa; Chordata; Mammalia; Rodentia; Muridae
Source: RNAcentral